GUGAAUCAUCGAAUUUUUGAACGCAAAUUGCACUCUCUUCGGAGAGUAUGCCUGUUUGAGGGUCAGCCUAAAAAAAAUCAAAAAGGUGGUUGUUUUCUGGUUUCCUUUGGUGGGAAAUGGGUUAACUUCAACCUUUUGGGUUUUAAGCGGCUUAAAAUUUUCUUUAGGUUUCACGAACGUUUUUAAAUGAUUUUACUUUUAUUAGGUUUAAGGAAUCGUCU
RNAcentral lists this unclassified non-coding RNA (221 nucleotides) under Glomus sp. Its description in RNAcentral is "partial contains 5.8S ribosomal RNA and internal transcribed spacer 2". The stretch from base 1 to 65 matches the Rfam family "5.8S ribosomal RNA", at positions 84 to 154 of the family's 154-position model. Lineage: Eukaryota; Fungi; Glomeromycota; Glomeromycetes; Glomerales; Glomeraceae. The record is from RNAcentral.